AUGGAAUGCCACAGUGAACUGAGCAAGGCUCCACCUUUGACUAUUUGCGAUGUCCAGUCUGAUGCAGAAUCAGCCAUCCACACUAGACCAAGUUCGGAAAAUGUAUUCACCACCCCGCAGAAAAUGUACAGUGCACCAUUCUGUCGCUCAUCUUGUACUCCAGAGUGUGAUGAUGACAUUAGGCCAGCCAUAGGGAUGACCUUUACAGAUUUGAACGCAGCCAAGGAUUUCUAUGAAGCUUAUGCACAUCAUGUUGGUUUUUCAGUACGUGUAGGACAACAUAAGACAGCCAAUGGUGUCAUUACUCACAAGCGUUUCUACUGUGAUCGUGAAGGUUUCCGCCAGGAGCAGAAAGGUUGCUUGGUGGCACUACUGGCUUCUGCAAGUUAUUAG
RNAcentral lists this ribosomal RNA (393 nucleotides) under Triticum aestivum (bread wheat). Its description in RNAcentral is "partial small subunit ribosomal RNA". Lineage: Eukaryota; Viridiplantae; Streptophyta; Magnoliopsida; Poales; Poaceae. The record is from RNAcentral.